UGCCAGCCGCCGCGGUAAUACGGAGGGGGCUAGCGUUGUUCGGAAUUACUGGGCGUAAAGCGUGCGUAGGCGGAUUAAUAAGUUAGAUGUGAAAUCCCAGGGCUCAACCCUGGAACUGCAUUUAAAACUGUUAGUCUUGAGUUCUGGAGAGGUAAGUGGAAUUCCUAGUGUAGAGGUGAAAUUCGUAGAUAUUAGGAGGAACACCAGAGGCGAAGGCGGCUUACUGGACAGAUACUGACGCUGAGGCACGAAAGUGUGGGGAGCAAACAGGAUUAGAUA
RNAcentral lists this ribosomal RNA (279 nucleotides) under uncultured bacterium. RNAcentral's name for it is "partial 16S ribosomal RNA". It matches the Rfam family "Bacterial small subunit ribosomal RNA", at positions 506 to 784 of the family's 1533-position model. The record is from RNAcentral.